RNAcentral lists this ribosomal RNA (213 nucleotides) under uncultured bacterium. RNAcentral describes it as "partial 16S ribosomal RNA". It matches the Rfam family "Bacterial small subunit ribosomal RNA", at positions 524 to 735 of the family's 1533-position model. The record is from RNAcentral.
UACGAGGGGGGCAAGCGUUGUUCGGAAUUAUUGGGCGUAAAGGGUGCGUAGGCGGUCUGACAAGUCUGAUGUGAAAUCUAUGGGCUCAACCCAUAGUCUGCAUCGGAAACUGUCGGGCUGGAGUAUGGGAGAGGUGAGUGGAAUUUCCGGUGUAGCGGUGAAAUGCGUAGAGUAUCGGAAGGAACACCUGUGGCGAAAGCGGCUCACUGGACC